RNAcentral lists this ribosomal RNA (116 nucleotides) under Lactovum miscens. The record is from RNAcentral. Lineage: Bacteria; Bacillati; Bacillota; Bacilli; Lactobacillales; Streptococcaceae.
UUAGGUAAUUUUGCCAGAGGAGAUACACCUGUUCCCAUGCCGAACACAGUAGUUAAGUCCUCUUGGGCCGGAAGUAGUUGGGGGUUGCCCCCUGUGAGAUAAGGUCAUUGCCUAGU